GGAUAGGGUACGCUGGGUGGCGGAGGCUUCUGAGGAUGUUGCUGAGCCUUUUCUUCAAGGUUUUCCGGAGGUUGUGAAUUCCUCUCCGUUGGAAGAUCUUCCUUCGAACUUUGUCGAAGGAAGUUACGUUACCCCGGUGACGUUCAAGCGUGGAGAUUUGUACGCGAGGGGUUAUCUAAUUGACUGGUGGCGCCACAAGUAUCCUACGCGUAGUAUAGAUGACUUAGUUGAUUUCCUUGUUCGUGAUUACUGUGAUGAUCUUAGGCUUUUUCCAGAUUCGUAUGUUAGAAUUGUGCGAGGGUCUUAGAACCUUCGGCGUUUUACGGUCGGAGGAUGUUUCUCAUUUUUUGUUGUAAGCUUGUGUUAUGUACAUUGUAUACGGUUAAUAAAGAUCAGACAUUUUUACU
This is a long non-coding RNA of Sorghum bicolor (sorghum), 407 nucleotides long. RefSeq lists it as uncharacterized. The transcript is spliced from 2 exons. The record is from RefSeq and is a predicted model, not a curated record. NCBI's taxonomy places the organism in Eukaryota, Viridiplantae, Streptophyta, Magnoliopsida, Poales, Poaceae.